UUUCCGUAGGUGAACCUGCGGAAGGAUAAUUAAUGUGUUUGGGCCUCACGGCUCUUCAUUCCGACGCUGUGCGCCUUCGGGCUGCACGCUGAGAGGGCAUAUAUCCACCCCUGUGCACACACACGGUGGCGAGCUGGGUAACGGCUCGCCGCUGAUCUUUACACACGUCUAAAAGUCAUUGUAUGUUUAUUUGAGAUAAAAACACAACUUUCAGCAACGGAUCUCUUGGCUCUC
RNAcentral lists this unclassified non-coding RNA (234 nucleotides) under plant metagenome. RNAcentral's name for it is "partial contains small subunit ribosomal RNA, internal transcribed spacer 1, and 5.8S ribosomal RNA". The record is from RNAcentral.